GGGGGGGGGGGAGCUGUACUAGAAACCACUAGGUGACUCAAAGCCUGAGCAAUAGCAAAACAUUACAAUUUAACAAUUUUGAUUUUUAGGUUAAACAAAGGUUCUGUGCCAUUGCUCAUUAACACCAACCCAUUACUCGAGUAUAUGUAUUUCAUUUGAAAACACCUUGAUCAGGUACUUCAUGUCAGAUCUUUAUAAUUUUUUCAAAGUUUUUAAUAUUUAAUAAAAUAACUUUAGGCUGUCAGGUCUUGCAAUGAUGUUCAAAUCGAAUUACUUCACCUGAAGUUUCAAGUUGAAGACAAGCGCUAACCUCUGAGCAAAGACCUUGACAUAUCAUUGUUCUAAACUGUCCUCUCUAAAAGUCUAGAGCUGGAUAGCUCUAUCAGUUCCAAACUGUUCUUCCUAGAGGUCCAGUAAGGAUCAUCUCUUAUUGAUCCAGUGUUACUACAGGAGGAAACCUAAACUAAACUAAACUAACUUUAUUUAUACUAGAUAGCUCUAUCAGUUCUAAAUUGUUCUUCUUGGAGGUCCAGUGAGGAUCAUCUCUUAUUGAUCCAGUGUUACUACAGGAGGAAACCUAAACUAAACUAACUUUAUUUAUACUGGAUAGCUCCAUCAGUUCUAAACUGUUCUUCUCGGGUCAAACUCUUGACAUAAUAAUAUGUAUUUUAUAGCUUGAAAAAUGUCAGGGCAUAAAUACUGAUGGAAUAAAGGUAAAAUACAAAUUAUUCUUUGAUCGUGUUGAGCUACAGAAACGUUAUGCUUGAAGCAACUGAAUAGUACGAACAUGCUGCAGUGAUGAAUUUUGAUUUUUCAACUGAAUCACUGAAUGUUGAUUCGAAUCGAGCUUUUUAAAACUGAGCAGACAUGUAUGUUCAUUGUUAGCUAACGGGUAUGCAUUGGCAACAAAAUUUAAAUAUGUUUAGACCGAAAGAACUCGUUAAACCGUAGAAUAAGUUGUCUUACAAAAUUUUUACAUCUUUGGUGAGAAGAUAUUUGAGUUUAUUUGAUAUUUAAAUAAGAUGACGUUUCAUACCAGAAUUAAUGACUCGAUACAGACUUAUAUGAUUUCAUCGGUUUAGAAGAGUAUUAGCAUUGUGACUACCAUCUUUGAAAACUACCAGCUUGCAAUGUCAUAUAUUUGUUUCAUUUGCAUUUCAAACAAACUAAAAUGUCCUGUUCAAGAACGAAAAAGAUAAAGAAAUUCAAAUGACUUAUUUCUUACAGUUUAAUGAGUUCUUCCUGUGUAACUGAGACUUGAAUUUCAUUGCUGGUGAUACCUUUUCGAUAAUUUCAUUGUGUUGACUUGUAUAAAAACAUCUAUUGUACCAUGUGCUUUCAUAUUUAAUAUAGAUUUCAUAUCUCAUCGAGGCCCAAGUUGGUUGAAGGACUCGCUAUUAUGACACCACCUUCCCAUGAACAACAUGGAACAAAGAUUUAUCUUUAUAAAAGGUAACACCACUCUCCUCUGCAGUCUGCAACGCUACUAUCCCAACAUUACCAUUAUUUGAGAUGGCCGAAUCUGCAUGUUCGCCGUUCUGUUACGUUUUACAUUAUACAAUUACUUUAUGGUUUCCGUGUUUGGAUGGCCUGAUCCAAACACGCGGGAAUGUUGCGAGAGUUAAGAAAAGCGAGCCAAAUCACGAGCCGAAGGCGAGUGAUUUUGCCCGCUUUUCUUAACUCGAGCAACAUUCCCAAGUGUUUGGAUCAGUCCAUCCAAACACGGAAACCAUAAAGUAAUUGUUUUAUAAAAUAACAACAACACGGUAGUCUUCCGUGUUUGGAUGGCCUGAUCCAAACACGGCUUUCGACCAAUCAGAAUACGCGUUAUAUACAUGUUAUUUUAUAAUAUCUUUUGUUUAUAAAGUUUAUAUCGGCUUUUUAUCACGUAUGCGUGACUGGACAGUUGCUGUAGCACAGUACAGUAAAUUUGCUUGUUAAAGCACAGUAUAUUUGAAAAUAUGGCUGUAUAACAACCUCGACAUGUUUACGUAUUGAACCAUGAUAUUUAAUGAGUCUUUUCUCGUGAGCUCUCAAGUUAAUUAAACGGCGUUUCAAGAAAUCGACACGCGCUAACAGUAGAAGUUCGGCUAAUCUCUAUUCGAAAAGCAGAAAAUGUAUGGUGAAGCAGAUUUUUUUAGCGUGAUGCUGGAAUUCUCUAGGGGGCAGCUAUAGGCACCAGUAUAGGUGGGGUGCGCGCUAACCCCUUAAAACCGUCCGCAUGCUAAUGUUUCGUUUGAAGUGAUGAGUGGCACGUUCGCUUCAAGAAUGAGACUGUGUUUUAUUCUUGUUGCCUGAAGGCAUUACUAUGUUGAACAUCUAGAGUGCUCAGGGGCCAUCUGAUCAAACUACGAUCUAAUAAAAGACUGUUUAAACUGUAUACGACAUGAAAUUUCGUAUUUUCUUGAAUGAAAGAACUCUUUAAGCUGUAGUGUAACUUAUAUUUCCGUUUCUUGUUUUUAUGGUUUGUUCCCGAGAUAUUUCAAUAUGUUUGAUAUGUAAAUGAGUGUGAAUAUGUCCGCUAAUUUAUGACGCCACAUUUGUUGCAAGCUCUUCAAAAUGGUUGAAUAUCACUGCUAUCAUCCAAGAUGAUAAUUUCAAACUUCACUCACUGGUAAAAGUGGUGAAACACUGUAGAAAAACGUGAACUGAUAUCUACAGUUUUUAGAGUUAAUAGAUUUAUAACCGGUGUAAGUUGAGCUUGCAGCCAACGUGAUGUCAUAAAUUAGCGGACAUAUUCGCACUCAUUUACAUACCAAACAAAUUGAAAUAUCUCGGGAACAAACCAUAAAAACAAGAAACUGAAAAAUAAGUUAUACUACAGUUUAAAGAGUUCUUUUGUUUAAGAAAAUAAGAAAUUUCAUGUCAUAUACACUUUAAUUAAGCGACGGUUUUUGUCAUAUUGCCGAGGGUAGAUUCGAUUACCAUGACUCUUUCUUUCUUAGGGAAAGAAAUCAAUCCCGUGUCCAGUGCAAAGGAUUUAGGAGUCAUCGUAGACUCGCACUUGACGUACAACGAACGUAUUAGUAAUCCCGCGCGCUGUCUCGUGCGCCACAGAACUCCUGUCAGAUCAGUAGGGUUAAAGAUAGUUUUAACAAGAAAACUCUUAGCCUCAUUAUCUCAUCUUUCGACACCAUCAGCUGUUUUACUGUUCUUCACUGUGGUCCAAUACAAUUGCGCCAAACAUUAAUAAACUCCAAGUUGUAUAACAACAUUUAUUAUUAGCGUGACAAAAUUACUGGAUGCUGAUUGGUUGAGAGGAGUACAAUUAUUUCAUUAAUUGUACUGCAGUAUACAAUUAAUGAUUUUCCCAAAACAAAUAAAAUGGCGGAAAGGUAUUUUAACAAAAUACAAAUGUGAAAUGAAAUUGUCCUAUAGGAUCUAGAUGAAAAUACGAACAGAAGCACCAAAUGUUGCUUUAACAAAAGAACUAAAUGAAAAUACGAACAAAAGCACCAACUUUUGGUUGAUAGUCUGGCAGGACUGGGCUUUGGCGAGAGAAUAUGAUGUUGACAUUGAGAAGUAUCCAAUUUUGUUAUGCUAAUAAUAAAAACGUAAUCAUGCGAUGUUGCUCGUACAAUUAUAGGGAUUAAUAGUACGAGUGAUGUUUGGAAUUUUGCCAAAUUGAACACGCCCCGGCGGCUCGUCCAAUUUAGGCAAAAUUUCCAAACAUCACUCGUACUAUUAAUCCCUAAUUGCACUCGCCAUCGCAUGAUUACCUAUACUAAACGGGCAGGAUCUCCCAGUCGAUUCAAAAAAUUGAUGAGAAACUAGAUAGACGAUUUUAACAACAACGGUAUAUAAUAUUUUACGUGCAUGCACAUUUUUUUCAUACGUAUUUUAUAGACUUUACAGGUAAACUACGCGAAGCGUUCCUCCCUUGACCUUUUUCGUUCGCUGCUGAAAUAACCAGGGGCC
Molecule: non-coding RNA, 3918 nt
Organism: Paramuricea clavata
Lineage: Eukaryota; Metazoa; Cnidaria; Anthozoa; Malacalcyonacea; Plexauridae
Source: the annotation of a GenBank genome assembly